RNAcentral lists this small RNA (29 nucleotides) under Bombyx mori (domestic silkworm). RNAcentral's name for it is "ovarian small RNA-30044". Lineage: Eukaryota; Metazoa; Arthropoda; Insecta; Lepidoptera; Bombycidae. The record is from RNAcentral.
UCUGUGCUUCCACACCAUUUCAUAUGCCU